AGAGCUGACUGGGCAAUCGCUGUCCUGCUUGCAGGAGGGAGGAAAGUCCGGGCUUCACAGGGUAAGACGCUAGGUAACGCCUAGGCGGCGUGAGCCGACGGAAAGUGCAACAGAAAAUAAACCGCCUGCGAGUUCGCUCGUCGGUAAGGGUGAAACGGUGCGGUAAGAGCGCACCGCGUCGCUGGUAACAGUCGACGGCACGGCAAACCCCGUCUGAAGCAAAACCAAAUAGGGGUGCUAUGGUGUGACCCGCACUGCACCCGGGUAGGUUGCUUGAGGUGUACGGUGACGUACAUCCCAGAUGAAUGAUUGUCCUCGACAGAACCCGGCUUAUAGGUCAGCUCUCUAU
Thiothrix lacustris is the source of this 349-nucleotide non-coding RNA. The record is from Rfam. Lineage: Bacteria; Pseudomonadati; Pseudomonadota; Gammaproteobacteria; Thiotrichales; Thiotrichaceae.